UUUCCUACGGGAGGCAGCAGUGGGGAAUAUUGCACAAUGGGGGGAACCCUGAUGCAGCGACGCCGCGUGAGUGAAGAAGUAUUUCGGUAUGUAAAGCUCUAUCAGCAGGGAAGAAAAUGACGGUACCUGACUAAGAAGCCCCGGCUAACUACGUGCCAGCAGCCGCGGUAAUACGUAGGGGGCAAGCGUUAUCCGGAUUUACUGGGUGUAAAGGGAGCGUAGACGGCAGAGCAAGUCUGAAGUGAAAGCCCGGGGCUCAACCGCGGGACUGCAUUGGAAACUGCGGGACUGGAGUGUCGGAGGGG
RNAcentral lists this ribosomal RNA (305 nucleotides) under uncultured bacterium. Its description in RNAcentral is "bacterial SSU rRNA". It matches the Rfam family "Bacterial small subunit ribosomal RNA", at positions 335 to 657 of the family's 1533-position model. The record is from RNAcentral.